This 785-nucleotide long non-coding RNA is filed under the name Numida meleagris (helmeted guineafowl). Its description in RNAcentral is "lncRNA (ENSNMEG00000009119.1)". The record is from RNAcentral. Lineage: Eukaryota; Metazoa; Chordata; Aves; Galliformes; Numididae.
CCUGGACUUUCAUAAAAGCUUUUUUUUUUUUUUAAUCAUUUAGCAGACAUAACACCUUUUGACGUGUUGUGAGCCUUCGGUGACCAUGCAAUUCUGACCUAACUGUGGUUCCACAUUCCCUAAAGUUAUUUGAAUGUGAUCUGAAGGCAACAGCAUUAAAUGAAUGUCUCAUAAUUUCUUGCCACAACUGUAUUUUCUUUUAAUGUAAAUAGAAUCAUGGUUUUAUUGCACUUUAAAAAUGUUACUUAUGUUCUCGAUUCCAUAAGGUAUUGAAAGACAUGAGCUUGAGUCUCAUGCCAUGUUGAACAAGAAUGUAGCCCUGCACAAUUAAAAUCAAUUACAUGCUCAAAUGCUUUUCAGGAACAGAGCCAGCGUGGUCAGCACUCAGCAUCGUUCUACUGGCAGCUCAGGCCAUCUGUUAUAUGUCAUCUGUUAUUACUGAUGAAACCAACCCCAGAAGCAACACCUGAAGACUCUUUACUUUGGAACUGAACCUGAUUUUUACAGCUCAGAGUAACCACUACUGGUAGCUCAUCUGGGUUAUUUAUUGCCCUUGCAUUUAUUUACCUUGCAUUUACCUUAUUUAUUUACCUUCCAUUUGUAUGUAUAUUCUUAUGUAUAUGAAUAGUUAAAAAAGAAACAAAUCGUAUUAUCCACAUUAUUCCCUUAAGACUCUCACCUUCCUACUUAUCAUUGCUUUGCUCCUGUAGACAUUUCUUUUCCUAAUUACCAAGCACUCUUCAAGCUAUCUUAAUGGGGUUGUGUGGUACUAUGAAAAUUUAAAC